GGGUAAAUCAAUAAAAUUUAUUAGGUAAUUGUUAAUUCAUUUAAUCACUACAUGCAGCUCAUCAAUAUAAAAAACUACGGUAAGAAGAUUGGGACUUAGAUUUGCGCAGCUUUAACCUUGAAUAUCCAGGAAAUAGAAUGAGAUUUAGUAUGACAACCGAUGGAUGCUUCUUUUAAGCCAUAACUGGUAGGCAGUCAUGUAAAAGGAAUCAUAGCCUUUUGGUAUUGUAUGCCACUCGAAGUGCCUCCUAAUUUUGCAUAGAUUACGGUACAUGCUCAGGUAUGUUUGUGGCGUUAUAGCUAGCAAUCUCAUUUUUAAGAACGCAACAUCUUGGUGGCUAAUGAUAACUGAAAACUUGCUCCAGUCCAAGACAUUGGCAAAUGGAAGGUCAUAAUAAUUGGAAAUUAUAACAGGAACGCACCCAUAAUGUAUAGCAUCACUGAUUCUCGCAGUGUUCACUUCAUAACCUUUAACAUGGAGGCAAAACUUACUCCUCCUGAAGCCUUCAUCAUAGGGGAAAGAUGGACUCCCAUUAAAUAUGUCCAUUUGAGUAUCGUUUCCCCAUAAAUUUAACAGGUCCUGCCGAACUUGUGAAUUUUGAGCACGUCCAGCAAAGUAAAGAAGUCUAUGCCUGGCAUGUGGGGGAUUCAAGGUACUAUGAGGGCGAGGCCAAACUUGGGGAAGCCCCACAUCUUUGUGGGAAACAAAAAACCGCUGGAAGUAGCUGGAAGAACAAGUGAGCUGAAUGGCAUUAUUGUGCAAAAAAGGAUGCCCGGAGGCCGCCUGGCGCCCAACCGAAUGACAGCACACAUAGAAAUGAUCGACACCUGCAGAGGCGUUCCAGAAUCUGAAGCGGUGGCUGAUGUUAGCGGUGUAUUCGGCGACGAAUUCUGAGAUGGAUGCCUCGGAAUGGAAGCGAGGGUCGUUUCUGAGGUUGUUGAUAGAGAAUGGGAGGAAAAAGAAUUGGGCUUGUUUAGGGAAAGGAGUAAGCAGGGAACUGCCAAGAAGGGCCACCUUGAACAUGUGUUCGCUGAAGUAAUUGCCUAGUUUUGGGUGAAUAAAAGGGUUUUGAAGGGGAAGGAAAAUGUUCGCGAAAGGGUUGCUUUUGUUGAAAACAUCGGGAUAAACAAAGAUCUUCAAAUGUUGCAUCAUCUCCUGAAAAUCCACAGCAAAAAGCUUCCAAUUGUGAUAGGGGCCACUUCCCCAUUUCGAGUGUACAGAAGUGGUGGUUGCAGUGGACUUUGCUGCUGGUGGCGACGCCUUAUGCGAACCAUUAUAAAGAUGAUGCAGUUUUGGAUGGAAUGUGCUCCUUUCUGAGGGGUAUUUAUACCCAAAAAACGCAAUACUUGAGGAAAGAGACACAGCCAACACAAGCACUAGUAGUAGUGGCUGAUGAUGAAGUUGUUUGGGCGGCCUUUUCAUCUUCAUCGGCUUUCAGUUCCUCCUGCUCUUUUGGGGAGAAGAUAAAAUAACGGGAUUCGAACGGCGAGGAUGGAUAGAAGACAAAAGAAGACAAAUAUAUAUUUCAGAUGGAGAGGACGACAAAACCUAGGACUGAGCGCAACAUUAACACUACUAACAUAUAAAAUGUGUUGGAAAUCGCUAUUCCCACGUUAGCGUCUUGUGAUGAUGCCGGUUGCCGAAGCGAUUUGGGAUUUCAUCUGCGAAGAAAAUUUUAUUUUUUUUAAUAUUAAACAAUUUUUU
RNAcentral lists this unclassified non-coding RNA (1704 nucleotides) under Hevea brasiliensis (rubber tree). Lineage: Eukaryota; Viridiplantae; Streptophyta; Magnoliopsida; Malpighiales; Euphorbiaceae. The record is from RNAcentral.